AAAGAACCCUAAUGAAGUCAUUCUGAGCUGGUAAUGAAUAGGCCUUUCUUUCCCACAGCCCUCCCUUGCCUGGACCAGAAGAAACGGAUUAAUAAUCACAGAACCUGCUGUCUCCUUGGCCUCCCUCCUCCUCCAAUACCUCCUCCUCCGCCACCGCUAUUUCCUCUAUCACAGUUCCAGGGAGCAUGGAGUUCUAUGUUGCUGGAUCUGGAUUGGAACCACUUAUGUCAAGAGCUUCAGAUAACAGACUCUCCGUGUAUAGAAUCUGUAUGCCUUCCAGGGCCUCCUGGUCCCCAGGUUGGUAUUUCCUUUUAGAAUGGACAAAAUGGAAUCCUAUGGACUGUUUUCCUGGUAUGUGCUAUUUCCAGACAGUGAGAGAGAUCAGGAAUGACAUGGUGGCAGGAAAACAGGAAAGACUGCUAAGAAAGUUAUUUUGUUACGUUAAAGACGCUCAUGUGGCAAUCGUUUGUUUAACUUAU
This 479-nucleotide long non-coding RNA is filed under the name Pogona vitticeps (central bearded dragon). RNAcentral describes it as "lncRNA (ENSPVIG00000015293.1)". The record is from RNAcentral. Lineage: Eukaryota; Metazoa; Chordata; Lepidosauria; Squamata; Agamidae.